RNAcentral lists this ribosomal RNA (372 nucleotides) under uncultured organism. RNAcentral's name for it is "bacterial SSU rRNA". It matches the Rfam family "Bacterial small subunit ribosomal RNA", at positions 526 to 896 of the family's 1533-position model. The record is from RNAcentral.
CAGAGGGUGCAAACGUUGUUCGGAAUUACUGGGCGUAAAGCGCGUGCAGGCGGCCUUGCAAGUCGGACGUGAAAUCCCACGGCUCAACCGUGGAAGUGCAUUCGAAACUGCGAGGCUGGAGUCCUGGAGAGGAAAGUGGAAUAUUCGGUGUAGAGGUGAAAUUCGUAGAUAUCGAGUGGAACACCGGUGGCGAAGGCGGCUUUCUGGACAGGUACUGACGCUGAGACGCGAAAGCGUGGGGAGCAAACAGGAUUAGAUACCCUGGUAGUCCACGCCGUAAACGAUGAGUGCUAGGUGUCACGGGCUUUGACCCUCGUGGUGCCGAAGCUAACGCGUUAAGCACUCCGCCUGGGGAGUACGGCCGCAAGGCUA